Molecule: ribosomal RNA, 497 nt
Filed under: uncultured bacterium
Lineage: Bacteria
Description: partial 16S ribosomal RNA
Rfam family: Bacterial small subunit ribosomal RNA
Source: RNAcentral
GAUGAACGCUGGCGGCGUGCCUAAUACAUGCAAGUCGAGCGAACAGAUGAGGAGCUUGCUCCUCUGACGUUAGCGGCGGACGGGUGAGUAACACGUGGAUAACCUACCUAUAAGACUGGGAUAGCUUCGGGAAACCGGAGCUAAUACCGGAUAAUAUAUUGAACCGCAUGGUUCAAUAGUGAAAGACGGUUUUGCUGUCUCUUAUAGAUGGAUCCGCGCCGCAUUAGCUAGUUGGUAAGGUAACGGCUUACCAAGGCAACGAUGCGUAGCCGACCUGAGAGGGUGAUCGGCCACACUGGAACUGAGACACGGUCCAGACGCCUACGGGAGGCAGCAGUAGGGAAUAUUCCGCAAUGGGCGAAAGCCUGACGGAGCAACGCCGCGUGAGUGAUGAAGGUCUUCGGAUCGUAAAACUCUGUUAUUAGGGAAGAACAAAUGUGUAAGUAAAUAUGCACGUCUUGACGGUACCUAAUCAGAAAGCCACGGCUAACUACGUG